AAAGAACCAAGGCAUGAGAUGCCUAGUAACAGCUUGAAGUACAUUGGUAAAUUCUGAUCUUGUCUACCUCUUCAUAAGACCAACAGUAAAAUUGAGGCUCCAGAGGCUGUGGGAUUUGCUCAGGGCCACACCGCCAGAUGUAGAUCCAGCCAUCCUGACUCAGAACCAGCCAGAGAGGCCUGACAUUGAAUGUCAGACACUGCCAGGGAGAAGUGAGUGAUCUCAGCUCCCGAUGACCCCAUUUUACAGACGUGGAAAUUGAGACUGCAUGACUCACCCAAAGCCUCUGGAUUAGUAAGAUACUUAGCUGAGAUCUCAACAUGGAGCUGCCAGACCCCA
Gorilla gorilla gorilla (western lowland gorilla) is the source of this 339-nucleotide long non-coding RNA. RefSeq lists it as uncharacterized. The record is from RefSeq and is a predicted model, not a curated record. The transcript is spliced from 3 exons. NCBI's taxonomy places the organism in Eukaryota, Metazoa, Chordata, Mammalia, Primates, Hominidae.